ACUUGAUGUAGUGCAAAAAAUUGGUACAAAGCUAAAGAACCAACUAUAAUUAAAUCAUUGAUAUUAAAUGGCUUUAACUUGGUAGCUUGCAAUCGAGAGUUCGAAUCUCUCACUCACCGCCA
This 122-nucleotide transfer RNA is filed under the name Vibrio parahaemolyticus. RNAcentral describes it as "tRNA-OTHER". RNAcentral also lists the same sequence under 1 other name. The record is from RNAcentral. Lineage: Bacteria; Pseudomonadati; Pseudomonadota; Gammaproteobacteria; Vibrionales; Vibrionaceae.